Molecule: ribosomal RNA, 253 nt
Filed under: uncultured bacterium
Lineage: Bacteria
Description: partial 16S ribosomal RNA
Rfam family: Bacterial small subunit ribosomal RNA
Source: RNAcentral
UACGUAGGGAGCGAGCGUUAUCCGGAAUUAUUGGGCGUAAAGGGUGCGUAGAUGGUUGAUAUAAGUCUUUUGUAAAAAUGCUAGGCUCAACCUAGUAGGGCAAAAGAUACUGAUGAGCUAGAGUACGGCAGAGGCAAGUGGAACUACAUGUGUAGCGGUAAAAUGCGUAAAUAUAUGUAAGAACACCGGUGGCGAAGGCGGCUUGCUGGGCCUGUACUGACAUUGAGGCACGAAAGCGUGGGGAGCAAACAGG